Molecule: long non-coding RNA, 3136 nt
Filed under: Homo sapiens (human)
Lineage: Eukaryota; Metazoa; Chordata; Mammalia; Primates; Hominidae
Description: HSALNT0393774
Source: RNAcentral
GUUGGAGGGGAGGGGAAGGUGAUGGAGUGGGGCUGGUAACCUAGGAAGGGGCAAGGGUCACUACAAUGUUAAUUGGUGUCUGCAGAUCAGACCCAUUUUUCUAUAGUGAAUAAUUUAAAAACAAUGUCAUUCAUUAAAUGAACCAAUGCCCUUGACUUCUUAAAAGAGGUGAAGGGAAUUAAUCACAGUAAGUUCUCUGAACAUAAAAAUUAACUAAGUUUAUAGUGCUGGAACUGAUGUGUGUGCGAUAACAGUACAUUAUAUUUGAAAGGAUGACCAGAAGACAGCAGCAGGAAUUAAACUAAAGCCAAGAAACUGAGCACAGCUCCUUGGACAAAUCUUAAUCUUGGCUGAUGCCAUAUCUGGUGGGGGUGAGCUGAAGUGUACUUCACUGUGCAUAGAGAGAGAAACCUGCUUUUGAAACUCCUUCCAGAAGCAUACUAUCUUUUCAAGGACAUGUUUGCUUCUCCUGCCAUGGCUGGAAGUUUCCUGAGGCCUCCCCAGCCAUCCUGAACUAGGUACCUGGUGCCAGUUCCUGAGACUUGAGGAUUCUGGUUGGUUCUCAGCACAGGAGUCAGCCUGCUCUGAUUUGCUAGUGAUGUCCUAACCAAUCUCCCUGAAAAAUUAUCUGUGAAAUUUAUUUCUAUACAUCCAACAAGCACAAUGAACUCUAGGUAGAAUAAAUUCAGUGAGGUCCACAUCAAGAACAUUGUAAUCAAACUGUUGAAUGUCAAAGACAGAGAAUCUUGAAAGCAACAAGAAAGAAUCAACUAUCAUGUACAAGGGAACCUUAGUAAGAUGAACAGUUGGCUAUUUAUCAGGAACUAUGGAAGCCAGAAAACAGUGGGCAUAUUUAAAGUGCUGAAAGAAAAGAACCUAUCAACCAAGAAUUCUGUAUCUGGCAAAAUUGCCCUUCAAAAGUGAGGAAGAAAUUGAGAUAUUCCCAAUAAACAAAAGCUGAGGGGUUCACUACAAGUAGACCUGCCCUGCAAGAAAUGCUACAAGAUGUCCUCAAGUUGAAAUGAAAGGACACUAAAUGGUAACUUGAAGCUGUAUGAAGAAAUAAAGGUCUACAGUAAAGGUAACUACAUGGGCAAAUAUAAAAGCAAGUAUUAUUGUGUAGCAUAAUGGAGAAUAUAUGUGGUCUCUCUGGUCUUUGUACCUGGCUCCUGGCACAGAGCUUCAAAAGCCCUUGGAAUUUCCUGAGUGACAAGAGUAUAUUUUUUAUGCUAAUGAGGUGACUCUUUGUAGGUUCCUAGAUAGCUUCAGAAUGGGGCUGAUCACCAGAAAGAUCAAUCACAUGAUUAGAUGAUGGCAACUUCUGGGAAGGGUAUCUUUAUGUCCUAUAUACGGGAAUCCUCAAAGUCCAGGUGAUGCUAAUUCUGUUGGUCACUGGACCAUAUUUUGAGCAGCAAAGAAAUAGCAUAAUAGCAUUUGUUAAAACUGGUCAGACUGUAAGCAUCACCUGAAGUGCUUAUUAAAAAUACCAUCCAGAUUACCUGACCCUACUCUACAUCUGCCAAAUCAGAAUUAAUCAACUUCUCAGGAGGCUUUUGUAAUUCAAUAAAUUUGGGAAAUGCUGAGGUAGGGCAGAGCUAAAUGUGGCCCCUAAGAGAUGAAGUGGUGAGUCACUGGGAUAGCGCCCAAAGGGAUGUGGACAGGAGCUGCUGGACAUGCCCUUGGCUCUCACCUUCAAAGGGAAGUGGACUGUGUGAGUUCCCUCUCACGAUUAUCUCAGGUCAGUAUUUGCCUUUGUAAUUGAUGGAGAACUUCUUAAUUUCUCUCUCUAGUGCGUCUAGAGUGUUGACAGUUGUUUCCAUGGACUUCAAAUCAACCCAACCCUGUGAGCACAGACUUUCAGCACCAGAGUCAGAUUUCCCAAAAAUGCUAUUCUUGAAGCGUAGAGCCAGACUCACAGAUCCUGUAAAGAAAACAGAUCUUUCAGCAAGUGAAACACCCAAUCUUCCAUUGCAUGGGACUCACAGAGGUUCUGAGGGAGAGAUGUGAAUAGAAGGAGUGAUCAUCACUGUGGACUCUAUUUCUUCCAUCUGUGCGUGCAAGAUUUAUAUCUGUAUGUGUUUGUUUUAAAGUUUUAUUGAGGUAUAAUUGAUACACAAUAAUCUGUACCUAUUUAAUGUAUACAAUUUGAUGAGUUUGGACAUACUUAAAUACCUGUGAAACCAUCACCACAAUCAAGGUAAUAGACAUAGCCAUCACCUCCAAAAGUUUCUUUGUGUCCCUUUGUGGUUUGUUUCUGAGAUAAGAACACUUAACAUGUGGACUCUUGACACUCUCCUUGGAUCUCUUAAUUUGAUUGCUGUUGCUGUCACCACAUUGACUUCCUAGCCCUGCUGAUCCUCCUUUAUCACUAGCUCUAGAAAAAAAAACAAACCAAACACCACUAAUUCAUUUAUUCAGUAAUUCAACAAAAAAACCAUUGAGCACUUAAUAUUUGCAGAAUACAUGGCUAGAUGCAGAGGAUUCAAAGAAUUGAGUGAAGUCACAUAAAGUGUUAAGAACAGUGUGUGAUACAAACAUGAAAUAUGUUAGCUGUUAGAAUUUCAAACUCACUUCCAUAUCAAUUAUAAUAAGGAUUUCCAUAAAUAGCAGAAUAGUAUUUCUAUUAGAUGCUCACAGAUGCUAAUAAAACAGUAGAAUGGUAAAAACCAUGCAUCCCCCAAGGCAAGAGAAGGUGAGCUAUUUUGCCUCGGUGGCUCAAUAUUCCAUCAAUGGGUCCUGCUUUAAACUGCAAGUACCUGCCUUCCUUCUUUCAACAGACUGACUCCACGUUGCUUUAGGAAAGAUUCACUGAAACAAAGGAAUAAACCACCCAAGAUAUAGUGUUUUUAAAAACAUUUUUUAAUGAAGAAAUUAUUCCACUCCAAAAUAUAGACACACAAUUAAAUAGUUUAAUCACUUCAAAAUAUAACAUGUCCCCAGGAGGUUCCAACACACACACACACACACACACACAAAACAAUACUUAACAGCAAUACAAAAAUCCAUACAAUAGUAUUUUUUUUUUACAAUACCAAUGAAUAUUGUGAAAUCUUUAGUGUCUCUGAAUUGAUUAUUUCAAAUGGUGUCAAAUUGCAGUAGUCAUAAUUAAAAAUGUCUUACAGUUAAUUCGCCUCAA